UAAUAACUCAACCAAAAAUAAUUAAAUAGUAUCUACAAAGAUGGACCGACCCAUCAUGAAUCAAGUAAAGUAAUUUGGGCUUAAAUAAAUCGGAUAAAUAAACCUGGCCCAAUCCUACUUUAGCCAGACAUAUAUAAAUGUCUGUAGGGUUUUCUAAAUGAUGUUAUUGUCUUCUCUUCCGUUCUAGCUUAGUUUCAGGUGAAAAAUUGAUCCGUCGUCUCUGAAUCAACAAUUUGUGAGGCUUGCUCUGUGGAUCAUCAACACUCUGCCAUGGAGAUUGCAAAUUCCUUCUAUUAACAGCUCCUAAAACUGAGUUCUUUUGUAUAUGGGAUAGUUCUUCAUUUUUGGUUUUGAAAUAAGGGUUGUAGGUCCUUGAGAUGGAUUGCAUGUCCAAAUAUGGUUGGGAGGGAGAUAAGGGAUGCUCGGACCUGCAUAUGUUUGAACUGUCUUCUGCUUCUCAGGUGGAUUAGAUGCUUCCAUCUCCCUCAACCCUCCCCUUUUACCUAAAGUUCAUUUUUUAUGGUUGUAUUUGUAUUGGCUAGGCAACUUUUGUAUUUUGUGAUUGGCUUCCUGGGUUGUAAAUAGAUGCUUGUAAUCUUUGGUGUCACUAUUAGUUGUAGCCUUAAUUAGCCGCAUAUCCUUUUUUCAGUAAAACUCUGAUGUAUGGACACUGUAGCUUAUCACUGUUUAGAAUUUUCUUUCCUUUAA
Capsicum annuum is the source of this 708-nucleotide long non-coding RNA. RefSeq lists it as uncharacterized. The record is from RefSeq and is a predicted model, not a curated record. Lineage: Eukaryota; Viridiplantae; Streptophyta; Magnoliopsida; Solanales; Solanaceae. The transcript is spliced from 3 exons.